GUCUGUAGCUCAGUGGCAGAGUACUUGCCUAGCAAGCAUGAGGCACUGGGAUCUAUCCUCAGCACUACA
This 69-nucleotide transfer RNA is filed under the name Marmota monax (woodchuck). RNAcentral's name for it is "tRNA.Ala". The stretch from base 4 to 64 matches the Rfam family "tRNA", at positions 6 to 65 of the family's 71-position model. From Rfam's summary of the family: Transfer RNA (tRNA) molecules are approximately 80 nucleotides in length. Their secondary structure includes four short double-helical elements and three loops (D, anti-codon, and T loops). Further hydrogen bonds mediate the characteristic L-shaped molecular structure. tRNAs have two regions of fundamental functional importance: the anti-codon, which is responsible for specific mRNA codon recognition, and the 3' end, to which the tRNAs corresponding amino acid is attached (by aminoacyl-tRNA synthetases). tRNAs cope with the degeneracy of the genetic code in two manners: having more than one tRNA (with a specific anti-codon) for a particular amino acid; and 'wobble' base-pairing, i.e. permitting non-standard base-pairing at the 3rd anti-codon position. Lineage: Eukaryota; Metazoa; Chordata; Mammalia; Rodentia; Sciuridae. The record is from RNAcentral.